AUUGAACGCUGGCGGCAUGCUUUACACAUGCAAGUCGAACGGUAACAGGCCGCAGGGUGCUGACGAGUGGCGAACGGGUGAGUAAUGCAUCGGAACGUGCCCAGUCGUGGGGGAUAACGCAGCGAAAGCUGCGCUAAUACCGCAUACGAUCUAUGGAUGAAAGCGGGGGACCGUAAGGCCUCGCGCGAUUGGAGCGGCCG
Molecule: ribosomal RNA, 200 nt
Filed under: uncultured bacterium
Lineage: Bacteria
Description: partial 16S ribosomal RNA
Rfam family: Bacterial small subunit ribosomal RNA
Source: RNAcentral